This 253-nucleotide ribosomal RNA is filed under the name uncultured bacterium. RNAcentral describes it as "partial 16S ribosomal RNA". It matches the Rfam family "Bacterial small subunit ribosomal RNA", at positions 524 to 776 of the family's 1533-position model. The record is from RNAcentral.
GACGUAGGGCGCGAGCGUGUCCGGAUUUAUUGGGCGUAAAGAGCUCGUAGGCGGUUCGUCGCGUCGGCUGUGAAAACCUGAGGCUCAACCUCAGGCCUGCAGUCGAUACGGGCGGACUUGAGUACUGCAGGGGAGACUGGAAUUCCUGGUGUAGCGGUGAAAUGCGCAGAUAUCAGGAGGAACACCGGUGGCGAAGGCGGGUCUCUGGGCAGUAACUGACGCUGGAGGAGCGAAAGCGUGGGGAGCGAACAGG